UGAAUCGUUAGCUCCUGGUACGGU
Molecule: non-coding RNA, 24 nt
Filed under: Rattus norvegicus (Norway rat)
Lineage: Eukaryota; Metazoa; Chordata; Mammalia; Rodentia; Muridae
Source: RNAcentral